UGGGGAAUCUUGGACAAUGGGCGCAAGCCUGAUCCAGCCAUGCCGCGUGAGUGAAGAAGGCCUUCGGGUUGUAAAGCUCUUUUACCAGGGACGAUAAUGACGGUACUAUUUGUAAGGUCCGGCUAACUACGUGCCAGCAGCCGCGGUAAUACGUAGGGACCAAGCGUUGUUCGGAUUUACUGGGCGUAAAGGGCGCGUAGGCGGCGUGGUAAGUCACUUGUGAAAUCUCCGAGCUUAACUCGGAACGGCCAAGUGAUACUGCUGUGCUAGAGUACAGAAGGGGCAAUCGGAAUUCUUGGUGUAGCGGUGAAAUGCGUAGAUAUCAAGAGGAACACCUGAGGUGAAGACGGGUUGCUGGGCUGAUACUGACGCUGAGGCGCGAAAGCUAGGGUAGCAAACGGGAUUAGAUACCCCAGUAGUCCCUGAGCGGGCUGGCAAGGCGCAU
This 445-nucleotide ribosomal RNA is filed under the name uncultured bacterium. Its description in RNAcentral is "bacterial SSU rRNA". It matches the Rfam family "Bacterial small subunit ribosomal RNA", at positions 355 to 825 of the family's 1533-position model. The record is from RNAcentral.